GAAAUGCGAUACGUAGUGUGAAUUGCAGAAUUCCGUGAAUCAUCGAAUCUUUGAACGCAAAUUGUACUUUCCAGUAAUCUGGGAAGUAUGCUUGGUUGAGGGUCAUCAAAAUAACAUUCGUGAAUUUUUUCGCGGAUUUGAGUUUUCCAGUAUUCAUUAUAAUAAAUAUGAUAAAUGUUGGUGACUUUAAAAUCAUUCAUAACUUGGUACAAGUUGAAAACGUGCUAUAUGUGUGGUUCGCUGACAACUUGUCCAUCUCUAUAUACUAUGCGCGCACUUGGUUUUUACACUCUGUGCGAACAUAUAUUUUUUUUUUGACCUCAGCUCAAGCAAGAAUACCCGCUGAACUUAA
Molecule: unclassified non-coding RNA, 352 nt
Filed under: uncultured Diversisporaceae
Lineage: Eukaryota; Fungi; Glomeromycota; Glomeromycetes; Diversisporales
Description: sequence contains ITS1
Rfam family: 5.8S ribosomal RNA (bases 1-105)
Source: RNAcentral